Molecule: ribosomal RNA, 303 nt
Filed under: uncultured bacterium
Lineage: Bacteria
Description: partial 16S ribosomal RNA
Rfam family: Bacterial small subunit ribosomal RNA
Source: RNAcentral
AGCAGUCGCCGCGGGAAUACGUAGGUGGCAAGCGUUGUCCGGAAUUAUUGGGCGUAAAGCGCGCGCAGGUGGUUUAAUAAGUCUGAUGUGAAAGCCCACGGCUCAACCGUGGAGGGUCAUUGGAAACUGUUAAACUUGAGUGCAGGAGAGAAAAGUGGAAUUCCUAGUGUAGCGGUGAAAUGCGUAGAGAUUAGGAGGAACACCAGUGGCGAAGGCGGCUUUUUGGCCUGUAACUGACACUGAGGCGCGAAAGCGUGGGGAGCAAACAGGAUUAGAUACCCCGUAGUCCCUGUCUCUUAUACA